RNAcentral lists this ribosomal RNA (253 nucleotides) under uncultured bacterium. RNAcentral's name for it is "partial 16S ribosomal RNA". It matches the Rfam family "Bacterial small subunit ribosomal RNA", at positions 524 to 776 of the family's 1533-position model. The record is from RNAcentral.
UACAGAGGGUGCAAGCGUUGUUCGGAAUUACUGGGCGUAAAGGGCGCGUAGGCGGUUUACCAAGUCAGAUGUGAAAGCCCGGGGCUCAACCCCGGAAGUGCAUUUGAAACUGGUAGACUAGAGUGCAGUAGAGAAUGGCGGAAUUCCCAGUGGAGAGGUGAAAUUCGUAGAUAUUGGGAGGAACACCGGUGGCGAAGGCGGCCAUUUGGGCUGUAACUGACGCUGAGGCGCGAAAGCGUGGGUAGCAAACAGG